CACGGACCGCACGAACGUUAUUCGGUAUCACUGGGCUUAAAGGGUGCGUAGGCGGCUUUGCAAGUUGGGUGUGAAAGCCCUCGGCUCAACCGAGGAAUUGCGCUCAAUACUGCCGAGCUCGAGAGAGACAGAGGUAAGCGGAACUAAUGGUGGAGCGGUGAAAUGCGUUGAUAUCAGGAGGAACACCAGUGGCGAAGGCGGUGCUCUGGGCCGGAACUGACGCUGAGGAGCGAAAGCGUGGGUAGCAAACAGG
RNAcentral lists this ribosomal RNA (253 nucleotides) under uncultured bacterium. RNAcentral describes it as "partial 16S ribosomal RNA". It matches the Rfam family "Bacterial small subunit ribosomal RNA", at positions 524 to 776 of the family's 1533-position model. The record is from RNAcentral.